UGCCCGCCUGGGGCUUUUGGAUCAAGAUGUAAAACUCUGGGCUCCUCCAUGCAUGUCUGCCUGCAUGCUGCCGUGCUUCCCACCAUGAUGAUAAUGGACUGAACCUCUGAAACGGUGUUUUGCUUGUGUGUAUGUCUGUUGCACCACAUGCAUGCAGUACCCAUGGAGGCCAGAAGAUUCCCCUGGAACUCUAGUUACAAACAGUGGUCAAGACUCUCAGAGGACUGUUCCAGCUUCUUCCACCAGAUCGGCUUGAGAAGAGGACCCCCAAGGAAAGGCCUCAAAGCUACUACCUUUGAACAGAAAAGGUUCUGGGCAAGGGAAGACAAUCCGGAACAGCUUCCCCAUGGCCUCUCCAGACUUUGCACCCUCUACGUCUCUUUAUGUGUCCCCUCAAAGUCUGAAGGAAAGGACUUGCUUUCAGAGUGGAGUGGAAAUCAAGUGUCUGACGAAAAGGAAAUCGGCUCUCCUCUUCUCCUCGUUCAUCUGCCUUGUGGGCUGGAAGGACUUGACUACCUCCCAACCUGACCACCAGUCACUCCCACGGUAGUUCUUCCCACCCCAGAGCCCACUUGUUGUCUUGAUCGUUUCUACCCCUCCCCUGUCGUCAUGGGAGCAAAACUCAGAUUUUCUUGUUCGGGAGACUGGAGUCCCUGAUGGUGAUCCCGAAACAUACUGUGUUAAUAAA
Molecule: long non-coding RNA, 688 nt
Organism: Apodemus sylvaticus (European woodmouse)
Lineage: Eukaryota; Metazoa; Chordata; Mammalia; Rodentia; Muridae
Exons: 3
Source: RefSeq, a predicted model, not a curated record